RNAcentral lists this ribosomal RNA (163 nucleotides) under uncultured bacterium. Its description in RNAcentral is "partial 16S ribosomal RNA". It matches the Rfam family "Bacterial small subunit ribosomal RNA", at positions 355 to 509 of the family's 1533-position model. The record is from RNAcentral.
UAGGGAAUCUUCGGCAAUGGACGAAAGUCUGACCGAGCAACGCCGCGUGAGUGAAGAAGGUUUUCGGUAUCGUAAAACUCUGUUGUUAGAGAAGAACAAGGAUGAGAGUAACUGUUCAUCCCUUGACGGUAUCUAACCAGAAAGCCACGGCUAACUACGUGCC